Molecule: long non-coding RNA, 240 nt
Filed under: Homo sapiens (human)
Lineage: Eukaryota; Metazoa; Chordata; Mammalia; Primates; Hominidae
Description: HSALNT0146255
Source: RNAcentral
AUUGAAGACAUUGGAAACGUAUUAUCUUUGAAACAGCACAGAGGUAAAGAUUAUAGAGACAAAAGAGAAGAGGGUCCAGAAUGGAUCCCUGGAGAACUAAACCAUCUGAGAUUGAAUAGGGGAAGACAGAUAUAGAUAGGUGGAGCAAGCUGAGAAAUGCUGGGGUAAGGAGAGGAAAACUAGGAUAAUAUGGGGUCACUGAAGACAAGAAAAGAGUACAUUGAAAAUGAUUGUACCAAA